RNAcentral lists this ribosomal RNA (433 nucleotides) under uncultured bacterium. RNAcentral's name for it is "partial 16S ribosomal RNA". It matches the Rfam family "Bacterial small subunit ribosomal RNA", at positions 29 to 507 of the family's 1533-position model. The record is from RNAcentral.
AACGAACGCUGGCGGCAUGCCUAACACAUGCAAGUCGAACGAGACCUUCGGGUCUAGUGGCGCACGGGUGCGUAACGCGUGGGAACCUGCCCUUAGGUUCGGAAUAACUCCCCGAAAGGGGUGCUAAUACCGGAUAAUGUCUUCGGACCAAAGAUUUAUCGCCUUUGGAUGGGCCCGCGUUGGAUUAGCUAGUUGGUAGGGUAAAAGCCUACCAAGGCGACGAUCCAUAGCUGGUCUGAGAGGAUGAUCAGCCACACUGGGACUGAGACACGGCCCAGACUCCUACGGGAGGCAGCAGUGGGUAAUAUUGGACAAUGGGCGAAAGCAUGAUCCAGCAAUGCCGCGUGAGUGAUGAAGGCUUUAGGGUUGUAAAGCUCUUUUACCCGGGAUGAUAAUGACAGUACCGGGAGAAUAAGCUCCGGCUAACUCCGUG